This 229-nucleotide ribosomal RNA is filed under the name uncultured bacterium. RNAcentral describes it as "partial 16S ribosomal RNA". It matches the Rfam family "Bacterial small subunit ribosomal RNA", at positions 118 to 351 of the family's 1533-position model. The record is from RNAcentral.
UGGAUAACCUGCCCAGAGGUGGGGGAUAACCCGGGGAAACUCGGGCUAAUACCGCAUAUGACCGUGAGGUCAAAGGCGGCUCGCAAGAGCUGUCGCCAUUGGAGGGGUCCGCGUCCGAUUAGCUAGUUGGUAGGGUAAUGGCCUACCAAGGCGACGAUCGGUAGCCGGCCUGAGAGGGUGAUCGGCCACACUGGAACUGAGACACGGCCCAGACUCCUACGGGAGGCAG